GUCACCUGGACGUGGUGAGGGGGCCCAGUACCAUCAUGUUCACAAAGGCUCAGUUUCUGGGGCCGUGGACAUGGGGGGAAGCUAAGAACAGCCUGAAAUCUCGUGAUGUAUCAAUUGUUCCCCGUUAAUGAAUAGAGGUUUUGGUUGUCUUUUUAUCUCGAUGUUUUUGAGAGCAUAUUUGGGAAAAAGUAUAUCGUUAAUAUUUCUGAAAUUGAACGACCAAAAUUUUUGAUUAUUCUUGUCUCUUAUUUGGAGAUUUUAGUCUUGACGGAUAUAGAUUUUUCGCCGGUUCCACUAUUGGGCUGUUACGGUUGUUUUGGUUUGGAACUUGUUUUUCUGAUAAGGACUUUCUUAAUCCUAAUAAUUCUUCAAUUGGUUCUUCAUUGUUUUGUUUUUAUAUGGACUUCUUUUCUAAAAACCUUUUAAUCAUCUGGAUUUGGGAAAGGACCUGUCUGCACUAGUUUUUAAUUUUCCUUUUUUUCAAAACAAAUUCUCUUAUUUUAAGUUUUUAUCUAACAAACUUUUUUUAAUAAAUUAUUAUCAGUUAUUUAAUCUGUUGAAUUUCAUAUAGAAGUUCUGUUGAUUUGGCAAUGGAAUUAUAAAAGGUGUUUGCGAGUGCAAUCAUUUUUCUUCAUUCCUUUUCAGGGUAGCUUCAAGUUGUAACAUUCUGGAUUACAAAACUAAUACAUUAUGUGCAGUUCUUACUAUUUGUUUAAUUUUUGGAUUGAUUUUUUUGAGUUAUUCAUUUAUGUUCUUUUAAUAAUGUUUUUAUUCGUACUAGGUUGUUCAAAAGGAUUUCAAUGGUUUGGCAUCAUUUUGGUCUAAAUUUUCUAUGUUUUUAUUUUUGGACGACAGUUUCGAUUGAACGAUUGGGAUAGGAGUAGUUCGUUCAAGUUGUUUAGCGUUUUUAAGAGCAUUUUUUAUCUUUGCAAAUUUUGAUUGUAAUCUGCAAAAUUCUUUGACCAUAUUCAAAAUAAAAAUUGUUUAAAAAACAAUAAAUUGGUUUAUUUGAUUUUCUGUGUAAUGGAAACAAGGCCGGGUUUUCGUAAUUCUUGAAUUUGAUUUUUUUUCUUAUCGAUUUUUAUCAUAUUUGCUUGUAAUGUUGACCCGAUAUCUUUCUAACAAUUCUGUAAAUGCAGAUGGACCUAGAAAUUACGUGUUUCAUCUUUAAUAUUUUGUCCUGCUGUUAUUUUUGUCAUGACAUUUAAAAAAUAUCACAGGUUGUUCAAAAUGGUGUAAUCUUUCAAAAAGGAAUUUUUACCGUAGUCACAUGCUCUUAGGUUUGUUGAGUCAUAUCUAAUUGUGGAUAAAUUAAAAUGAGGUUGAAUUUAUUAUUUCAUCUAAAAUCUUAAUUCCACUGUUUACUGUUUAGUUUAUUUUGGAAUUUUGGGUAUGUGUCUAAGUAUUGAGAGGAAUGUGUCUUGUCUCAUUUGUAUUUUCACUCAGAUGAUUUUUCUUAACAUGUAUCUAGAUUUUUCCCUGAUUUUUAUAUUGAACUAUAAGGAUUAUUUAAAAUUAGAACUAUUAUUUCUGAUAAGAUCUUUACAAUUUCUAAUAAUUCUUUAAUUGGAUUUUUGUUUUGAAAUAUAGAAUCAAAGUCUAAAAUGGCACAAUAUUCUAAUAAAGUGUUAAUCUGGACUUCAGAAAGGGCGGCUGCACUUGUGUUUAAUUUUUCUUUUUUGUAAACAAUAUCAUCGAAUUCUUCCAGGAUUUUUAUUUCUUAUUUCUACAUUUUCAUUUGCCCUUCUCAUUACUUUCAGUUAUUUUUUUUUAGACGCAUUUCUUCAAUAAGAACAUCUUUUGGCAAGAUACUUGUUUACAUUCUUCUUACAAAUUCCACCUGAUUGAAUUUGACUAUUAUCUAUGGAUUUUUUUGCUUUUUUAAUUAUUUUUUCUUUCGUUCUUUUCUUUGAUUAACGUUCUGUAGUCCUUAGCCAUAACUUCUUUAAGAGUGUAUUAUCAAAACAUUGGUUUUCGUAUUUAUUGUAUGUGGGAUUUUUCAUAAGGUUCUUAUGGUCUCAUUUCUUGCUUGGCUUUUUCUUAACAUACCUCAAAGUACCCUUUACAAUUUGUCUGGUAUUUGUGCUCCAAAUUUGGUUGUUAUUAUAAAUCACCCUACAUUAAUUUUUUCUUUUAAAUACAGUUUAGGAAAAACUUCUACCCCAUUUCGCCAUUUGUCUCUCGUCAACUUGUCGGUUUUUCUCAACAUAUAUUGUCUCUUUUUGUAGUUAAACCCGAUAAGAAAUUGCUCAAUUUUCUUACCUGUUAAGGAUUUGUGCCCCUAUAAAUAAUGUUGAAACUUCUUCACUCAACAGUAUACAUUGUUUCCCUCUAAACCGUCGAGUAAUUUUUCUCUGUUGCUAUCUUGUUUUUCGAUCAUAUUAUUUAAAUCCGUUGACAUUCCGCCGUUUGUAGAAUCAUUUUGUCAUUAAGAUGGAUAGUUUUAUGAGGUUUUAUGGGCUAAAUAGAAGUGAAGUCAAAAAAUUUUUUAUUUUCUUAAAUAUUUCGUCACAUUUGCUGUUCUAAUUUAUUUUUGCAUUUUUUUCAGUAAGUGAUUGGUGGGUUUGAGUAAUAAAGCAAACGACUGUUAGCUUAAUUUCAGUUUCUUUUCAGUGAAGUUUUCGUUUAGUUCAAUUUCAGUUUAGUUUAGUGUUAGUUGCAGUUCAGUUUCAAUUCAAUUUUAAUUAAGUUCAGCUAACAACACUGUGGUGACGUGAACAACAGGAAAUAAGUGUUUACUGAUAGAAAUAGUGUCUCUAGAAAGUGCUUUAGGUCUCGAAAAAGUGUGUGCACAUUACGAAAUUAGAAGAACCAGACUUAUCAUUUGCUCAGCUUGGAUGCCAGCUAGAUAGUACGUCAACUGUCGUCGCACAUUUGGACUACAGAAUCACCAUACAGAAAUUCACCAAGCAUUGCUUCAGGAAAGAGAUGUUCUUUAUAAUGAAGAGGAGGGUGAUCAACGUUGCCUCUUGGUUUUUCUAUGAUUUUAUUUGCGGAAAAAUGCUGCUUCAGCUUUUCCUGGUAAAUCAUCCAGACAUGCAAGUUGCAAGGGUUGAAUCACGGGGUCCCUUUUUAGAAAUUAUCAAGCUCCAGGAACCCUUUAUUUGAAGUCAAUUUUAAUCCCAAGGAUGGACUCGUGGUGACAAUUGAGGAGUUCAAAACCAGUUCAGUUCAGUUUCAGUUACAGUUACAGUUACAGUUUCAAUUCAGUUCACUUCACUUCACUUCACUUCAGUUACGGUUUCAGUUCUGUUCCAGUUUAGUUUUAAUUCAGUUAAUAAUACAGUGGUUUAGUGGUAUGUGAACAGUGAGUUGUGCUUAGUGUCUCUAGUCGGAAAUAGUGUUUGAGAUAAGUGUGUACAGACGGAAAUAGUGUCUCGAGAGAAGUGAAAAGUGCUUGGGGCCUCGAAAAAUGUAUGGGAAAUUAUAAGAAGGACGAGACUUAUCUAUUGCUCAGCUUAAAUGUUAGCUAACCCUAGAUGGUACCACAAGUAUCGUCGCAAAUUUAGACUGCAAAUAGACCUGCCACAGAGAAAUUCCAUUGAACGAGUCAACAGUCGACGUGCCAUCAAAAACCUCUGGUUCCGGAGGAGACUAUUAGUGGCUAUUUAUUCUCUCUGUUGUCCUUUUAACCUUCAAGUAUGAGAUGGCCCUUUUCUUGACAUUUAGCAAGCGGAUGUAUUUGCGACGACUUUCCAACAACAACCCAACGAAUUGUUGAUCUUUUAUCAAAGAGUUCGUCCAUCAACGCGUCAUCAUAGAGUUCAUAGAGGUACCAGAGAUAUUACAAGUACGAGUCAACUUUCUGUCACAAUAGGAUCUCCAGUCAAGUACGACUCAAUGGAUUAUUCAACCGGAUACGUAAUUGCUUAGGACAAUGUACUCGAACAUUAUUCUGAUUAACAAUGAAGAUGAGUUUUCGACGAUAUAUGGAAGCAAGAAAACCGAACAAGUAACACCGUUCCUGGAAACUGUGGAAAUACGAAAUCUACAAGAAAGCGUUUUACUCAUACUUUCGCUUUAGAACUUGCGUAUAAAUUAAUGAGGAAUAUUUUUUUAUGAAAUUUGACUCACCAGCAGCACAAUUUCUGGUUCUAUCACCGGUUGGGUCAUUCGAAAUUAUACUCAAGUAAUGGAAACAUUGGCAAGAAAGAUACUACCGUUAAAACACCACAUCAUGGAACUUUGACUUGAUCACUGUAUUUGUCUGAAAGCUUUUCUUUUAUCCUUUCCUGUGCACUUGACAAAUUGAUCGCCGAUAAAUAAUUAUUUGCGAGGACUCUUUCAACGACAACCUAACGAAUCUUAUCUCGUAAACGUUUUUGCCAAGAAGAUCGUCCGUCCACAUAAGGCUGACAAAGGUAUCCAAAGAGACUAAGAGACUACAAAUUAACUUUCUACCAUGUUUAUGCUUAUGCAGUGGGAUAUUUUAACCGGAUACAACAUUCUUUAGGACAAUUUACUCGAACUGUUCCAAUUAACUGUGAAGAUAGAAGUUUGACAAUUUUGUAGAAGCAAGAAAACCGAAUAAGUAACACCUUACAUGGAAACUCUGAAAACAUAAAAUCUACAAGAAAUCGUUUUACUAUCGCUUAGAACUUGCAGAUGAACCAAUGAGGAACAAUUUUUUGACAAGACUCGUCUCACCAACAGCAAAAUUUAUGGUUCUAUCAUCGGUUGGAUCAUUAGAAAUUUACUCCAGAAAUGAAAAUAGUCUACAUCGAAGAAAUUGUAAGAAAAAUUGUACCGUUAAAAGAUCACAUCUAAUAAAUCAAUAAAGAAUAUUUUUAUUGAGACUCGACUCAAAUAGCAAAAUUCCUUCAAAUAUCAUCACUUUAACACUUUUCUCUUCACAGUGAGGGAAGCAGUUUGUAUCGAAGAGACUCCAAGAAGGACAGAACUGCCUCAAAAACUUUUUAAUGAAUUUGCCUGAAAAUUUAUCUCAAAUAAAAUAACUCCAUUUUCGUUUGGGCAUUUGGAUUAUAACAGCAAAUAAUUGCAAUGUGGCAAAGAUUCAAUUAGUCAACAGUCUUUCAAAUCAACAGACCAUUUGAAAUCAUUUUUCACUGUUGGUCACGUUUGCAAGUAAUCUAUAUGGUCAACAUUUUAGAGGUUGCUACAAUGAUCUUCGAGGAAAAACUUCAAAUUUAUUUGAUGUAAUGAAAAUCCAAAAUAUGUAAUAAGAUUUUGAGGCUUUAUAUGUUACCUAUGUUUUUAAUGGGAUAUUGUCUUUUUUUUAAAACUUAUUUUCCCCAAUUGUAGCUGUUUGCAGAAUUCUAUCAUCAUUUUACAUUGAAAACAUAGAGAAAAAUAGUCAAUUGUAAGUAGUUGGUUGUGAAGCAGACUUAUUGUGUGAUUUCUCUGUUGUUUUGCCAACACAGGAAUAACAGUAAAUCUGCUAUAUUUUGUUUGUUUAUGUUGACUCAACUAUGAAAUUAUUGUGUAAUUAAUUAGUAUUACAAAAUUUCUAAUUUUGUAACAAUGAUUAUUAAGUAAGUUAAGGGUUUUAAAUGUUACCUAUGUUUUGAAUGAGAUACGAAUUUUAUUUUAUUUAAAAAUAACAGACUUCAAAUUUGUCAUUAUUUCUGUCUUAUUCACAUUGAAAACAUAGUGAAUCCUUAAUAAAAAUUGUUAGUUUCAAGUAGACGAAUGUGAAGCAGAUUUAUUGUUACUGUUUGAUUUCUCUGUUUUACUAGCACAACAAAAACAGUAAACCUGUUUAUAAUCAGUUGUAAAAAAAAUAUUUUGAAAAAAAAACAAAAAUAUAAUAUAAAAGAAAAUAUACAAGAAAAAAAAUCAAAAAUACACUAAAAAAAUCAAAACAAGAAAUGUAAAACGAAAUGAAAAAAUUACUACAAAAAAGUACAUUGGAAAAAUAAAAAAUUAAAAAAAAACAAAAAGAACAAAAAUCAAAAGACAAAAAAUGAACAAAAAAAUAAAAUAAAACAAAAAAAAUACAGUCAAAAUCUUACAAAUAAAAAACUUCAGUUGCAAGGCAGUUUUUACAAACAUGUUAUUAAUUAAUUUUUGACAUGCAUUUUUACAAAAUUAGAAAAACAUUUAAGACUAAACCAUUUUCUUUAGUUUUAUAAAAGCUGCUUUGGUUUCACACUAAUUCAAGUAAAAGUGUGAUCUUUGUAAAUUGUUUAAAUAAGUGGAAAUGUAAUGAAAUUUGGAAAACUUUUUUGAUUUUUGUUUUGCAUUUGGUUUACAAUUCACAGUGAAUUGACGUCUUGUUUUCCAAAUUUCAAUAGUAAUUUUGCUUUUGUUUUGAUAAUAUUGGUUAUUGUGCAAAUGAGCACAGUUUUGUGAACGCUUAACAGCUUAACAUUAUGUAAACUAAAAUAAGUAAUUGCUCCCGGUCUUAAAAUAAAUCACUUCAAUGUUGUCAGAUUUUUGGAGAAACGUAUUUAGUCUAAAAAUUUCUGACAAUAAUUUUUUAUGUAUUUGUUUCGUUUAUAUUUUAUUGUAUCUUUGUUCAUUGUUUAUAUUAACGUAUGGAUAUUUGUUAACGAAAUACGAAAAAGAUUUCAUUAUUGGACAUUUCAAAAUUUAAAUUUCAUAUUUUACGUACUUAUUUUAUAAAUUUAAAAUUAAUUAUAAUCAUUUAACAAUUGUUUUUCGUAUUUCAGUUCUAUGAUUUUUUUAUACUUUUCUAAGAAUGUAAUAAGAAUUUGUGAAAUGUCGUAAUUUUGUAUUGUAAAACAUUACAACUAUUAGUUACAUUUAAUGUGACCGGGAAAUGCUGAAUUGUCAAGAUUUUUGGAAAUUUUAUUGGACUAAAAAUCAACUGACAAUCUAUGCUAUAGUAUUUAGAUUAAGUUGUGUUAAAUGUUAUACUAGUGGAUUUUUGUAGUUGUAAGCUAAAUAAUCAAUGUACUACAAAUAUAAAGAUCAACGAAAUAUGAAAAACAUCUAAAGUCAAAUAAGUUAAUUUGAAAUUUACUAAAAUAGCAGUUUUUUAUUUUUUAACGUUUUUUCUCUUUCGUUGGUUACAAAAAAAUUGUUACAUUCGGUUUACUUCAUGAAAACCAUUGUGGUGUCAAUAGCGUACUCUUAGCAUUAACUUUUAUAUGAGGUCAUGGUAACAGCUUAGUCAUUUGCACCACAAUGGUUUUUAUCAAAGUGAACCGUAAGUACUGUGGUUACUGUGUCAACUUUAACCAGUACUAUCAAAUUUGUUAAAUAGAUUUGUCUGCUAAGAAGGAA
Molecule: long non-coding RNA, 7209 nt
Organism: Tribolium castaneum (red flour beetle)
Lineage: Eukaryota; Metazoa; Arthropoda; Insecta; Coleoptera; Tenebrionidae
Exons: 9
Source: RefSeq, a predicted model, not a curated record